Non-coding RNA from Triticum aestivum (bread wheat), 136 nucleotides. The record is from Rfam. NCBI's taxonomy places the organism in Eukaryota, Viridiplantae, Streptophyta, Magnoliopsida, Poales, Poaceae.
AUUCUACUCCCUCCGUUCCACAAUACAUGCCUUCUAUUUGUCAAAAUAUAGAUGUAUCUAGACAUGUUUUAGUAUAUAGGUACAUCCAUUUUUGGACAAAUGGAAGUCAAGUAUUUUGGAACGGAGGGAGGACACA